This 497-nucleotide ribosomal RNA is filed under the name uncultured bacterium. RNAcentral describes it as "partial 16S ribosomal RNA". It matches the Rfam family "Bacterial small subunit ribosomal RNA", at positions 28 to 507 of the family's 1533-position model. The record is from RNAcentral.
GAUGAACGCUGGCGGCGUGCCUAAUACAUGCAAGUCGAGCGAACAGACGAGGAGCUUGCUCCUCUGACGUUAGCGGCGGACGGGUGAGUAACACGUGGAUAACCUACCUAUAAGACUGGGAUAACUUCGGGAAACCGGAGCUAAUACCGGAUAAUAUAUUGAACCGCAUGGUUCAAUAGUUAAAGACGGUUUUGCUGUCACUUAUAGAUUGAUCCGCGCCGCAUUAGCUAGUUGGUAAGGUAACGGCUUACCAAGGCAACGAUGCGUAGCCGACCUGAGAGGGUGAUCGGACACACUGGAACUGAGACACGGUCCAGACUCCUACGGGAGGAAGCAGUAAGGAAUCUUCCGCAAUGGGCGAAAGCCUGACGGAGCAACGCCGCGUGAGUGAUGAAGGUCUUAGGAUCGUAAAACUCUGUUAUUAGGGAAGAACAAAUGUGUAAGUAACUAUGCACGUAUUGACGGUACCUAAUCAGAAAGCCACGGCUAACUACGUG